Trichonephila clavipes is the source of this 85-nucleotide non-coding RNA. Lineage: Eukaryota; Metazoa; Arthropoda; Arachnida; Araneae; Nephilidae. The record is from the annotation of a GenBank genome assembly.
GUCAGAAUUCGCCGAGCGGUCUAAGGCGCCGCGUUCCGGUCGCAGUCCACUUCUGUGGGCGUUGGUUCGAAUCCCACUUCUGACA